Molecule: long non-coding RNA, 5502 nt
Filed under: Heterocephalus glaber (naked mole-rat)
Lineage: Eukaryota; Metazoa; Chordata; Mammalia; Rodentia; Bathyergidae
Description: lncRNA (ENSHGLG00000040603.1)
Source: RNAcentral
GGAGGAUUAGGCUCAGUCUGCCUUCAGUCCCCUGUCCCCUACUCCACAGCCACCCUCCUCUCCCCGGGUCAGACCCAGAUAGGGGCUGUCGGAGUAAGGACCUAGGGUCUGAAUCGGUCCCCUCUCCCGGGCCACUCAGCACCCUCCUGCAAGACAGGCAGCCUGCCUCUGACGCUGAGGAAGGGGUGGGUUUCUCCUUAGCAGCCCAGAUCCUAGGGGCAGGCGGUUUCUGUCUUUGCCCAUGUGCGGUGACUAGGGCGUGGGACAGUGGCAGUGAGUCCCUUGGUCGACUCAGGAGAAACUGAGAGAAAUAUGGGGAGGAGCAGGGGCCCAGAUCCUGGGGACUGGGCGAGCCGGGCACCCUGGGGCCCUUCCCAGCUGGGUGACUGGCGGAUCAGCGUCAGCUUCCGCACUUGGGAGGCUCCACGUCCAGUCACAGGUGGCACUGGGUCCUGGGCCGGGCAGUGGCGAUCAGAGACAGGUCGGGGACAGGUCCAGAAACACUGAUACCAGUGACCAUGGACUGCAACUGCUGACACCAUGAGCCAAAGCGAACCUUUCCUCCUGGAGCCCGCCCGUCAUGUGCAGGGGAGGCCCAGGAGCUCGGUGCUGAACAUGCUCAGGAGGCUGGACAGGAUCAGGUUCAGAGGCCCCAAGAGAGAGGACUGCCUGGACCUGGCAGAGUCGCCCAAUGCCUCGGACACUGAGUGCGCUGACGAGCUGCCCCUGAAGACACCUCGGACCUCGCCCGAGACGGCCAGGAGCUCAGGGACCCUGCAGGUCCAGGGACCCUCAUCAUGGCCACUGGGGCGCCAGACUUCAUCCGCACAGAGUCUGAUCGCCUGAACGAGAUCAAGGGUCACCUGGAAAUCGCCUUACUGGAGAAGCACUUCCUGCAGGAGGAGCUCCGGAAGCUCCGGGAGGAAACCAACUCGGAGAUGCUGAGGCAAGAGCUGGACCGGGAGCGGCAGCGGCGGCUGGAGCUGGAACAGAAGAUGCAGGAGGUGCUGAAGGCCAGAGCCGAGGAGCAGACUGCGCAGGUCCAACAGCCGCUAAAGAGCCAGAGCCAGGCCGGCAAUGGAGCAGAACGCCGCAGCCAGGGCCUGUCCUCCCGAGCACAGAAGUGGUUCUAUGAGAGGUUCUGGGGAGUACCUGGAGGGAUUUCCGCUUUCAGCCCGAGGAGAACACCGUGGAGACCGAGGAACCCCUCAGUGCCCGCAGGUUAACGGAGAACAUGAGGCGGCUGAGUGAGUGUGGUCCCUUGGCCGAGCGUGGGUGGUGGGUGGUGGGGAAUGGAGCCCAAGCUGGCCGGCCCAGCGUUUGGGGGUGAAAAGUGACGCCUUUCUCCCAUACUCCCCAGACCCCAGGGAAUCCCAACAUGCUGCACCCCAUCUUUGCCCUGUUCCCUUUUUCCUGCCCCCCACCGGCCUGGGCAUGGGGGGUGCAGGUGGUUUCUCCCCAUGGGUAACUCGGGAUGUGCUGUGCUGACCGCCGUAGUCUGCUCUCUUCCCAGAGCGGGGCCAAGCCUGUCACUAACUUCGUGAGGAACCUUUCUGCCUUAUCUGACUGGUACUCCGUCUACACCUCUGCCAUCGCCUUCACGGUGUACAUGAACGCCGCGUGUGGCACGGCUGGGCCAUCCCCAUGUUUCUGUUUCUAGCAAUUCUGAGGCUGUCCCUCAAUUACCUCAUCGCCAGGGGCUGGCGGAUACAGUGGAGCAUCGUGCCAGAAGUGUCUGAAGCUGUGGAACCUCCAAAGGAAGACCUGACCGUGUCCGAGAAGUUCCAGCUGGUGCUGGACGUCGCCCAGAAAGCCCAGAAUCUCUUUGGCAAGAUGGCAGACAUCCUGGAAAAGAUCAAGAACCUGUUCAUGUGGGUGCAGCCCGAGAUCACGCAGAAGCUGUACAUUGCACUGUGGGCUGCCUUCCUGGCCUCCUGCUUCUUCCCCUACCGCCUGGUGGGGCUCACCGUGGGGCUCUAUGCUGGCGUCAAGUUUUUCCUCAUCGAUUUCAUCUUCAAACGCUGCCCCCGGCUGCGAGGCCAAGUAUGACACGCCCUACAUCAUCUGGCGGAGCCUCCCCACGGACCCCCAGCUCAAGGAGCGUGCGGGUGCCACUGUGUCACGCAGGUUGCAGACAGCCGCGUCUAGGAGCUACGUCUCCAGUGCACCAGCCGGCUUGAGCAAGGAUGAGGAUGCUGGUCGCUUCCACAGUACCAAGAAGGGCAAUUUCCACGAAAUCUUCAACUUGACCGAAAAUGAGCGUCCACUGGCAGUGUGUGAGAACGGUUGGCGCUGCUGCCUGAUAAACCGAGACCGGAAGAUGCCCACGGACUACAUCAGGAAUGGGGUUCUGUAUGUGACAGAGAAUUACUUAUGCUUUGAAAGCUCCAAAUCCGGGUCCUCAAAGAGGAACAAGGUCAUCAAGCUGGUAGACAUCACAGACAUCCAGAAGUACAAGGUCCUGUCUGUCCUCCGGGCUCAGGCAUGGGGAUUGCUGUAUCGACGCCAUCAACCCAGAAAGUAAGUGGCAGGCGGGUGGCUGUGACUGGUCCAGGUGGGUCGGGGGGCUCAGCUCUUGCCAUGCCUGGGCCUGGCCAUGGCUUCAGCCCGGGCAGGGAGCUGCAGACUGCUACAUCCGGUCUGCAUCCAGCGAUCACAGCCCUUGGGCGGUAGAGUCCCAGGACAGAUGAAUACUCAGGAAGGGGGGCGGCAAGCCUGGAGCCCAGGUUCCCCACUUCUUACCUCGGUUUCUCUGAGCCUUCUGGGUAGGACCCUGCACAGCUGCUUGGUGCUCAGCUUGGGGUCACCAUCUUGGUCCCAACCUUGCAGUGGGCAGUGCUCACAGGCAGCGUUUCCCCCAGCCGCUGGUGUUCGAGGCGCCAUGGUGCACAGAGACGAGGCCUUCGAGACCAUUUUCAGCCAAUAUGUGAAGAUCACGUCUGCAUCAGCCUCGGGUGGGAAAGCUAGUACUGAGCCCUGGGUGCCACUGGAAUCUUUUUAACAGUCGGUGUGGGACAGAGUGGACAGCCUCAUGACCCUUUGCAAUAAUUCCCUGACCUAUGGUUUCUGUUGCGUGGCUGGAUUCACACACAGAGGCUGGGGCUCAGGAGGAGGUGCCACUGCCCCCUGGCAGGCGCGUGUGGCACCUUAGUGGGGACGCGGCUGGGCGGAGGGGGCCGCAGGGCUCAUUGAGAGGAUGACACGCAGGACUUCACUGACCGGGCCUACCAAGCACAGCUCCUUGUUCUCCAUCCCGCCUGGGUAGAGACUGACACCGGCCACCCCAGGAGGCUCUCGUGACCCCUCGUUCCCUGCUUUGCAGAGGCCAGGAGCUGCCCCACCAAAGCCAUAGCUGAGUGCCUCCAUGGUCCUCUCCUGCUGGGGUCAGGGAAGGAGUGGAAUCGGGGCCCCUGUACCAGCUGCCCAGAAAAGGCCAGCAGGUCUCCCUCAACCUUCAGCACUUGUCCUUAAAGCUCCAGGCCCUGGGCCUGGGGACAGGGUUGUCUUCCGUGGGAGCAGUGAGGCUGGGCAUAUUUGGAGGCACUUCCCUCUCACCUGCUAUGGUAGAUGAAGCCUGGAGGCUUGAGGUUGACUGGGAAGGGUACAGAAUGCCAUGUGGGUAAAAGCACAUCUCUAACACUGCUCCUCCGAGAGGCCCUGGAGGACGUCAGGAAGGCUGUGGGGUGCUCUGAGCUGUGGCUGCUCUCAGGUGAAAAUCAACAGUCUGGCCGGCACUGGGCCCUCUGGCUGCAACCACCCAGGUAGGCGUGGUUGAGGAUGGCCUGGGCUUUGUGGCCCACAGAGGCCCAGGCUGCAGAUGCCCUGCCUGUGGGGCCAUCAGGAGCUCCUGGGAGGACCCUCUGCUGUAGGGGUGGCUGUGAGCAGAUUCCAGUGUGGGGCCAGGGCCACCCUGCAUCCCUGACAGCUGACAGUACUCCCCCACCCCCGGGGGUGCCCAGCAGUGCCAGGCUGGGCACAAACCACCCUCAGCCUGCCCCGCCCUGGGGCUGCGCACACUUGCAGGGUGAACUCUGGCUCCGUAGAGGAAGCCGGAGAGUGUGUCUCCCACGCUUGGUUUACCCUGGGGCCGUGCGCCCACAGAUGGAUUUGAACUGCAAAGAAGCCGACAUUGAGUCCUGGGACAGGCUUGGCCUCCCAAGGCCGCACCACAUGUGGUCUGUAUGCUUUCUGAGCAGUCUCUCCAGUUCUUCAGCUUGUCCUGGGUCUUUCGAGGUGUCUCUGAGAUUGUUUUUGAAGAAACAGAUUAUAUUUUUUACAGAGAGCAAGCUGUUUUUCUUAUUUUUGUAUCAUUUUUCAAAUGGAAUUUUUACCUUUGCUCUGAAUCCUCGUUGGCUGGCUUGGGAGUGGACGCAGUGGUGUGGGCUGGUGACCCCUUCCUGGAGGCUGCAGGGUUGCCCGUGGUGUGGGGACGCGGCACAAACAGCCAGGUCAGGCACACAGGCCACACCAGGCUCCACAGAUGGUACCACCACACCCUUGUUGUUGAAGGCAGAGCCCCCCUGGCAUGGCUCACCUGGCAGCAGACCCAGCUCUCAAGUGCAUGGGGUUAGGUGGGGCCCAGGAGGACCCCAAGGGGAGGUGGAGGGGGCCUGACCUGUUCUGGGUGCAGGUGUAUGGGUGAUGUCCAUGGGUGAUGGUCAGACCUGUCCCCUGGCCCUGGCAGUGCCAGGGCGGGUGCUGGGAACGUGCUAUCAGUGAGCACUUCCUGUGGACACACUGGGAUGCUGUCCAAAGCACCAUGGGGAGGGGCUGGGCGGACAGGGCUUCUUCAAAGACCGUGUGGUUUAGUUUGAGUCCCUUUCUCGGAGAAGGGCGAUGAAGACUGGCCAUGGCCUGCUGGAUGCAGCGCCCAGUGUGUGGGGGAGGCCAGUGUCACCCCAAGUUGCACAGCUAGGAAGUAGCAGGUUCUUCAGUGGACCCCGGGGGCUGGGCUGGGCUAGGACAGGGGCCUGUGCAGGCCCUGGUCUCGUCAGAGACCACAGUUCUGUGGAAGUGUACAUCUGGGCUAUAUUUAAUUUCUAUGACUAAUCACUGAACUAGAACGUUAAAUUUUGAAUGUCUGAAGCUUGAGUCUAUUUUGGAUCUGUACAUAAUUGUUACCAGUGUAACUUUUGUUCAACAAAAGGAUUGUACUGUAUGAAGAAUCGAUGAAAAAACUUGUCACAUUUUUUUAAGAGAAAAACCUUGUUUAAAGAAAAAGUCUUGUAUAAAUUAUAAUUUUUAUUUAAAUAAACCCUAAAACGCUUUGUGCUAAAGCUCAGGCCCUCUGCUUUCUUGGCAGGGUGUGGGCUGCUGGAGCAGGCUGGGCAGCUCCCAGGCCCCGCAGGACCCCAGGGGCAACGAGGACGUGGAGCCACCUGGAGCCUCUUUGAGCCUCGAUGGGUUAAGGUUGAGGGGGAGGCAGGUGCUGGGCCGCAGUGGAGGCCAGAUGGUGAGGGGCACUGGCAGAAGGGCAAGGCUGGCACUGGAGUGGGGUGUGAG